GCAGUACCACGCGCACUCAAACACGCGGGGCUGACGUCAGCAUCUGACGUGGACUAUUGGGAAGUCAACGAGGCGUUCAGCGUCGUUGACCUGGUCAACAGGCAGUUGCUGGGGCUACCGGCCGAGCGGUGCGUGUGUCCCUUGGAUGGUUCUGAGUUUUACAUUACGGUUUUAGGGCGGUUUUAACUUUGGUUUUGGGGUUUUAGGUACAUUUUAAAGUUACACUGCAAUCGGCAAGGCCAACAUCCCGAAAUAAAGCCCAGUAUUAAAACCUGAUUUAAUUAAUAUUUUGAAUAAAGUAAAACCCAUAGCGCCUUUUAAACCCAAAUUUUCUUCCACUCGGCCUUUCAGAGUCAACGUCUUCGGCGGGAGUGUGGCUCUAGGGCAUCCUAUCGGCGCGAGCGGUGCGCGCAUCCUAGUGACUUUGCUCAACGUGCUGCGCUCCAAGGGGGGUAGGAGGGGCUGCGCCGCCAUUUGCAACGGCGGCGGCGGCGCAUCUAGCAUCGUCGUGGAGGCGAUGCCGCCGCCACUCGACAAACAGCAGCAGCAGCAGCAACUGCCGACGGCGGCGGCGGCGAUGACGCGGCAACAAUCGCAAUUGUAGCUGUAGCUCAGUAUCACCGUCGUAUUAGUAUUAGGAGAAACACAUUAAUCACGAUUAGUAUUGUGAGGUUUUACGAUGCGAGACGAGUUUAAAAUGUUGGCAUGCGAAGUCGAAGGGUUACUGGGUAGUCGAUGUAGUCGAAUGUUGUAGUAGAGUAGCAAUAAUGGCACUUGCAGCUGAGAUAGAGUAGCCGGUCUUCAACUUAAAUGAGCUUAAGGCAGUUGGGAAUUAUUGGGAAUUACUGGGAAUGCAAGGUGGUGAAGACAAGGAGCGAACCGUUGCAGGUGGUGGGCAGGACGUAAGAGAAACGGAAGCAGGAACAGGAACAGGAACACCUGUGCACUGAAUUGUACAUUAUUUAAUGGUUUAUAGGUUUAUAGGUUUUAAGGUUUUACUGUUAUGGCGACCCAGACCCAGUGCGAAGAACAGUGAAACACAGACGGGACAUGUGGGGCUGUAGCAGCUCGGAGCAACAACUGGUGCCUCGCAGGGAGUAGCAGUAGCAGCUUGACGCAAUUGCAUCUUGUGGCGUAUGUGUGUAUGUAUGUAUGUACGUAUGUGUGCAUCUGCAUGUAUAUCUGUGUGCAUAUGUGCACACUCCCAGGAUUUGAUGAGGAUUUUGAGGAAAAGAGUGCAACGGCGGCAGGGGAAGUGGGGGGUUUGCAUAUGGACUCCGACAGCCAGAUGGCUCCGACAGCCAGUUCCGCUCAUUUCAUUUCUUACGUUGUUGCUGAUGAUGUCUGUAUCGGUUACCCUCCACGAUCUUAAGAUGAUACAUUACGAGAUGCCAAAUUCGUCAAACCUGAGCUGACGUUUGUUAGGGUUAUAUCUAGCUUGGCCGACGCUUGGCUGAUGGGCACACAUGCGUAGCCGGGUCUGUCCUCCAGUUUACAAAAAAAUGUUUUAGCAUCUCCGGCAGAAAUGCUAAGCAUCCGAGCACACCGCACGAAAUUGGUUGUUGCAGCAAAGCCCGCGGAAAGGUGUUUCCUCCGGUGUGUGAUAGUAUUGGUACAAGUCCCUUUUUCCUCAGCUUGAUGUUCACAUGCACCGAUGCACUCGACACACAGUGAUUGCAGCCCUGCACACCAGCAGCAGCAACGACAACAACAAUAACAUCAACAUCAACAACAGAGACCUAGACUGGAUAAAGAUAAAUGCAACUCUAGCAGGCAAACGCGCACGUCUUUGCACACGUACGGGCAAGAAGCCCAUAAACACGGUGGUACGGCAAGUACGGCAAAUUCUAUGCUUUUCACCAGCUCGCAACGGGGAUGCCACCGGCCCUCCAGCGCGAGGAGUCGAGGACCCGAAGCGACCUCGUCCCGACAUCCGAAUUAUGAUGUUAUACGACCGUACGUCACAACUUCAAGAUACGGAUGAAUGUACGGCAGCUAGCAAUCAUUCAGCUAAUAAUAAAAACCAUUCAACCCCAACCGAACGCCCGCCGGCGGGCAGCGGUGUCAAAACUACAGAAACGUACCUAAACAAUGCGGUGAACAUGGCAAGAACGCUUCCUGGUCACUGCGAAAAUGCAGCAGCAGCCUUAUGCCGUACAGGGCCGUACAAUCUCAUCAGCAGCCGACCACAUCAGCUUCCGAAGUCGUACCCAAAAAGUACCUCUCGUAAUGCCGAAGCGAUAACGAAAGGCUCGUGCAGACCUUGGAUGCCCACGAUCUGCCGUACACUCCCCUGGCCCCGCCAUGCUCCACCACAUCCUUUCACAAAUGACACCACACUUCGCGCAUCUGCAUCAGCGCAAAUAGGGGGGUCCUUGUGAAGCAGCUGCCCGCGUUUCCAAAGCACGUAUGGUGUUGGAUUGUAAGGUGCCCAAGUACGUUUGCGAGGAAGAGAAUGUGGCCAGGCUGGAGAGGAAAGUGCAGUGGCAUAUUGGAAUGUGAGAUUAGCGUAAGCGAGUUACAGGGCGUUUUAUUGCACGGGCGAAUUUUCGUGCAAAUCUUNNNNNNNNNNNNNNNNNNNNNNNNNNNNNNNNNNNNNNNNNNNNNNNNNNNNNNNNNNNNNNNNNNNNNNNNNNNNNNNNNNNNNNNNNNNNNNNNNNNNNNNNNNNNNNNNNNNNNNNNNNNNNNNNNNNNNNNNNNNNNNNNNNNNNNNNNNNNNNNNNNNNNNNNNNNNNNNNNNNNNNNNNNNNNNNNNNNNNNNNNNNNNNNNNNNNNNNNNNNNNNNNNNNNNNNNNNNNNNNNNNNNNNNNNNNNNNNNNNNNNNNNNNNNNNNNNNNNNNNNNNNNNAGUUAUGUUGUUAUACUUUGCGCAACUUUGUAAUUUGACUUUACUCUGAACAAGGUGCUGCAUACAACUGCCUCUUCGCCAGCGCUUCAUCUUCCGCGGCAGUUUCACGAGCCCAGAGUUGCAAGCUACGACGUUGGCUUUCGGUGCUUUUAGGUACUGCAAAGCAUCCACGCAAUAGUCCAGCCUGCAUGCCGCGUGCGGCUAUGGCCAACAUGCCCACCUGCGCAACGCGCUGGCGCACCUGGUCCUUUUCCGCCAAGAAAAUUUAUAUACACUUGUACAGGCGCAUUUUGCGAAUCGCACGCGCGCAUCUGCGCGGCAAAAUUCGCUCCUGACUCUUUUGGGACGAUGUACGAACUGUUUAUUCGCGAAGUACGACCGGACACAUUUGUGCGAGGGGCUGCUUAACAAUCUCCACCUGAGCAACCUCAAAACGCUGGGGCUGCAAAAGAUCAUUUUCAAAAAUAAAUGGAGGAGAUUUUGGAGGAAGACCCAACCGUUGGAACCCGAUGGGCUUUUUAAAAUCCAAAUCCGAUCCAAUUAUAGGAUUAACUACCUCCAGCCUUUCACUCUCGGGGUAGCCGUAUAUUAAGAAAUCGCUGGCUUUUACAUAACCACACGGCAUCUCAUCACGUUGUUUAUCAUCAAACAGCAGGAAAAGGAAGAGAAGCGAGGAAAGGCGGCAUCUUUUUUUCCGUACUGUCUUCAUUAACGAUCCAGUUUGAAAGUCAAGCAGCUCUGAAGCGGAAGGAAAUCAUCGCCAAGGGCGCGUUCGCACAGAGGCUUGAUGUGGUUUCAGCUCCAUCCGGAGGCCCUGUGGCGCAGUGUUGCUGCGCUCCAGAGAGACCGAACGAGAAGAGACCGAACGACAACGACAACGAGAAAGACAGGGAGACAGAGAGGGAGAGAGAGGGGGGGGGGAAAGGAAUCUCCAAAACCCUAAAACCCAAAUCAAAAAUCACGUGUGUGAUUCACAGAUAGCCCCGACUGUUAGUACCGAACGGACCCUCAUUCCCAGGGAGGAAACGCAAACGCAACAACAACACACACACACAUGCACCGCGCAUACCCCACGUGCCUAGUCCGGUACGACAAAACCGUGUACCUAGCCAGCCCCCGAAAACCCCCAACCGCAGAUUGCUCCUGGACUAGGAGCGUGUCACAGCAAACACAGAGCUCUUUCCCGUCCUCCCCAGAACCCACGACAAUUAAACCAACGGUCCCGGACAAUCCCGUACGGCUCCGUACAAUCCCCUCUGUUAUCCUGACGAGUUCAUCAGGCGCUCACAACAAGAGGAAGAGAGGAGGAGGCGGAAACGGGAAGGAAGAUGCGAUUGUGACUUAAUGACUUAACGACAUCAGCUGACUGAUUGACAUGCAGAAAUGCACAUCGCCGCCAGUACAUAACGGCCGCGGGUCCCCUUGGGGGGGAGGGGAGGGGAGGGGAGGGGAAAGCCCCGGGGGGAAGGGGGAAAACGUAAUAAAACACAAUAUAAGACACGGUAUCCAAAAGAUGUGCUCACUCUUCGUUCAUUUGGGCCGGUGUCCCCCCCCUUUCCCCGUUCUAAUAACUGCCAUCUAAAGAUCCGAUUGGUCGCCUAACGGGCGUUGGCUUUGAUGCUCGACACCACGGUCGCCAUUACCCACGCACGAACCAUGCCGACUGCGACGUGUUUUCUACCCCCCCCCGUCCCGACACGGACCCACGGCGGUCGGCCGGGUGACAGCCGCACGCGCGCACGUCGCCACAUCAUCCACAUGGCCGUGUACGACGUACACGCUGCAGAUGCUCUUUCCAUUCCUUUAGCAUCACCACCACCACCAUCAUCAUCAUGACCACCAGCACCACCACCAAUACCAUCAUCAUCAUCAUCAACAACAUCGUCUCCGUCAUCCAUCGCUAUUACUAUCAUCCGCAAUGCAUUUAUCGUAUUUCACCGUCAUCACUGUCGUACACAUCACCGAAUGCAAACCGAAGCCGAAAGCAAAUAAUGCUUCGCAAUUGUAUACCCGUGCCGCGGCCUGGCGGAGGCGGCGGACGUGCGAAUGUGUCGCCAAACGUGGCUGGCGCCGGGGCUGCAGCCGGCAGUAGCGGUAGCAGUAGCGGCGCGGAGGGACCAGCGUCACGCAGCGCGACGAUCGGUAUUCCUGGCGGCGUCGGCGCGAGCGGCAGCAGUGGUAGCGGCGGCGGUGGAACUCCGCCGUCGUUGUACGGCACGGUGGCCGCCGCCGCAGCUGCGGCGGCGGCUUCAGCAGCGGGUCCCGCCGCCACAGCAGGGUCGUACAUCUGGGAGGAUGAAAGUCUUUCGAAGAUGGACCCUGUACGGCUGACGGCGCUCAAGCCGUACUUUCGUCGUGACGGCGGAACGGUCACAGCAGGCAACGCGUCGCCUAUGACCGACGGGGCGGCGGCAUCGGUGAUAGCGAGUUAUGAAGCCGUACAGGUACGAACUUUCUGUCGUACUGUCCUGCAGGGCUCACUUUUCCUCUCGCACCUUUUUGCCAAGCAAUGUGUGCGCACGGCAUUGUGUUUAUAACUCACACGUUUUCCUUUCCCCCGCGGUGAAAAUGGGUCGCGUCGAUGCAUCGAUUCGCCGUACAGCGUCUGGGCUUGCCAUUGCUGGCGGCGGUACGGGGCUUUGCUGACGCAGCGCAAGCGCCAGAGUGAUUUACGACAGCACCGGCGCUAGCAGUACCACGCGCGCUCAGACACGCGGGGCUGACGUCAGCAUCUGACGUGGACUAUUGGGAAGUCAACGAGGCGUUCAGCGUCGUUGACCUGGUCAACCGGCAGUUGCUGGGGCUACCGGCCGAGCGGUGCGUGUGUCCCUUGGAUGGUUCUGAAUUUACGUUACGGUUUUAGGGCGGUUUUAACUUAAGGUUUUGGGGUUUUAGGUACAUUUUAAAGUUACACUGCAAUCGGCAAGGCC
Molecule: long non-coding RNA, 5777 nt
Filed under: Volvox carteri
Lineage: Eukaryota; Viridiplantae; Chlorophyta; Chlorophyceae; Chlamydomonadales; Volvocaceae
Description: long non-coding RNA (VCAR_LNC003802)
Source: RNAcentral